Molecule: ribosomal RNA, 253 nt
Filed under: uncultured bacterium
Lineage: Bacteria
Description: partial 16S ribosomal RNA
Rfam family: Bacterial small subunit ribosomal RNA
Source: RNAcentral
UACGUAGGGGGCUAGCGUUGUCCGGAAUCAUUGGGCGUAAAGAGCGCGUAGGCGGCCAGAUAAGUCCGGUGUGAAAGUCACAGGCUCAACCUGUGAAUGCCGCUGGAAACUGUCUGGCUAGAGUCCGGAAGGGGCGAGUGGAAUUCCUGGUGUAGCGGUGAAAUGCGCAGAUAUCAGGAGGAACACCAAUGGCGAAGGCAGCUCGCUGGGACGGUACUGACGCUGGGGCGCGAAAGCGUGGGGAGCGAACAGG